GCCCCCGUAGCUCAGUCGGAUAGAGCGAGGCACUCCUAACGCCUAGGCCAGAGGUUCGAUUCCUCUCGGGGGCACCA
This 77-nucleotide transfer RNA is filed under the name candidate division CPR2 bacterium GWD1_39_7. Its description in RNAcentral is "tRNA-Arg". It matches the Rfam family "tRNA". From Rfam's summary of the family: Transfer RNA (tRNA) molecules are approximately 80 nucleotides in length. RNAcentral also lists the same sequence under 2 other names. The record is from RNAcentral. Lineage: Bacteria; candidate division CPR2.